Molecule: transfer RNA, 84 nt
Filed under: Deferribacteraceae bacterium
Lineage: Bacteria; Pseudomonadati; Deferribacterota; Deferribacteres; Deferribacterales; Deferribacteraceae
Description: tRNA-Leu
Rfam family: tRNA
About the family: Transfer RNA (tRNA) molecules are approximately 80 nucleotides in length. Their secondary structure includes four short double-helical elements and three loops (D, anti-codon, and T loops).
Source: RNAcentral
GCUCGAGUGGCGGAAUAGGUAGACGCAAGGGAUUUAAAAUCCCUCGCCAGCAAUGGUGUGCCGGUUCGAUUCCGGCCUCGAGCA